RNAcentral lists this long non-coding RNA (550 nucleotides) under Nicotiana benthamiana. RNAcentral's name for it is "long non-coding RNA (NBEN_LNC003629)". The record is from RNAcentral. Lineage: Eukaryota; Viridiplantae; Streptophyta; Magnoliopsida; Solanales; Solanaceae.
CCUUCUUGACUUUUGAUUGACAUGAAUCUUGAGAGAUUACAGACCCAAGGUAGUUGUUCCUUGAAAGGAAUCGUAAACUGAUUCUCUCCAAGAAUAAGGCGAAGUUUUCGUUGAUUUUCCUUGACUUGUGGCUUUAAUAGACUUUCUCCCGCUAAACAAAUCUGUCUGCUAUUUGAGUAAUCAAAGUUGUAUCUCUUGAUUCUGGGCUUCAACGGCCUGCAUUUGAUAGAAGAAUCUCUAGUGCAGAGCUUCGCAAUCUCGUUUUCCUUUAAUUUGGGAUCUUCCUAUAAUGUCCUCCAUCAAUCUACUAUAAAAUCAUUGAUUGAUUCAUUCUUCUUUCUGCUUUUCUACUUCUUCCUUUUUCGUCUCUAAUCAUUGAUACUUUUCCUUUCCUUUGUUUCUGGAAUUUCCAUCAUUCUCCUUCCUUACUUGCUUUUGUUGACUGAUUUUCCCUUAAUUCUUUUACUUGUUGCUGUACUUGAAUGAUCGAGCAUCUUGAGUCCGUUGUUUUGUCCCUUGUGAUCAUGCACCAAUAGUAAUAUGUUAUUUU